UGGGGAAUUUUGGACAAUGGUGGAAACCCUGAUCCAGCCAUCCCGCGUGUGCGAUGAAGGCCUUCGGGUUGUAAAGCACUUUUGGCAGGAAAGAAACGUCAUGGGUUAAUACCCCGUGAAACUGACGGUACCUGCAGAAUAAGCACCGGCUAACUACGUGCCAGCAGCCGCGGUAAUACGUAGGGUGCAAGCGUUAAUCGGAAUUACUGGGCGUAAAGCGUGCGCAGGCGGUUCGGAAAGAAAGAUGUGAAAUCCCAGAGCUUAACUUUGGAACUGCAUUUUUAACUACCGGGCUAGAGUGUGUCAGAGGGAGGUGGAAUUCCGCGUGUAGCAGUGAAAUGCGUAGAUAUGCGGAGGAACACCGAUGGCGAAGGCAGCCUCCUGGGAUAACACUGACGCUCAUGCACGAAAGCGUGGGGAGCAAACA
This 427-nucleotide ribosomal RNA is filed under the name Alcaligenaceae bacterium enrichment culture. Its description in RNAcentral is "bacterial SSU rRNA". It matches the Rfam family "Bacterial small subunit ribosomal RNA", at positions 355 to 774 of the family's 1533-position model. The record is from RNAcentral. Lineage: Bacteria; Pseudomonadati; Pseudomonadota; Betaproteobacteria; Burkholderiales; Alcaligenaceae.